Molecule: long non-coding RNA, 11233 nt
Filed under: Salmo salar (Atlantic salmon)
Lineage: Eukaryota; Metazoa; Chordata; Actinopteri; Salmoniformes; Salmonidae
Description: lncRNA (ENSSSAG00000086633.1)
Source: RNAcentral
CGUGCGUGCGUGCGUGUUGGUAGAGAGGGGAUUCAGUUCAGGCAUGGCACAAAUUACACUCUUCAAUCUCUCUGUCUGGACUGGGUGGGAUCCGUGAUUUCAACAGAACUAGACUUCACAGCUAUGGAUCCUGACGACAUGGACGAAGAUCAACUGCUUGAUUACGCUAUUCAGAUGAGCAUUCAAGAGUCAUGCCCCAAAUAUUAUUAUCAUCUUUAGAGAGUGAUGAACAUCUGAAGAUCCUAAAGGCUAUUGAUCGAGGUGACAUUCUCGCCCUCCAAGAGCUGUCAGAAUUUCAAGAAGGCUUCAGUGAGGCAGAUGACAGGGGCUGGUACCCUCUGCACAAGGCAGCUGUCCAACCUCUGGUGAAAAUGCUGGAGAUAGUGUUGUGUGCGUCUUUUAGGUUGUCCCUGUAGGAGAAGACAAUGGAGGGAGAAACACUGCUAACUCCAGCAGCUAUGGCUGGUCUGGUGGACAAUGUGAAGAUGAUACUUGAACAUGGAGCGUCUCCCCAUAACACCAACAGCAAGAAAGAAUCCCCUCUACUGCAGGUAAUAGUGAAAGGUAUAAAGUCUGUGUCCUUGGCAUCCUUGUUGUCACAACAAGUAUUAUUGUUGAAAUGACUCCUACCAUAUUGUUCCCCUGAUAUUCAACAGUUGUUGUGAUUUCUCCCGGUCAGCUGUUAGAUUUGGGUUGUAUGAAAUGGCAUCUGCCCUGAUCACGAGAGGAGCCUGUGUGGAGCAGGUCUGUCUGAAGCAGUCGACUGCCCUGCACGAGGCGGCAAAGUUAGGCUACUCUCAUAUCAUGGAGCUGUUGUUUGAACAUGGAGGUCAGGUCUCUGAGAUUGAUCAAGACGGCGUGACUCCAAUGGCCAUUGCAGCAGAGCACGCCCACUCAGAGGUUCUAGAGAUCCUUAUUUACAGUGGUGAGUAGGUAAAAGCACGAUAGCUCCAGUUUGCCCUCUGAUAGGCUAGAGCUUGAUAUAACUUUCAACAUGUUACAUAAAACAACCCAAACCCAGAGUCAGAUAUAUAUAUAAGAGUCAUAUCUAUAUAGAGAGUUAGGCCAAUGCGGUUUCUGUCUGAAUGUUACGAGAGCGCCACUUUCUCCUCCAUAGUCGUUGCUAGGUGAUAAUUGAUGCUUCCGCUUUGUGCCGUUUAUUUCUGAUAAUUUUCAAAACCUAUGAAGAUGUCCAGUGAAAGCAGAUAUGCAAUUUAUUAACACCACAACACAGGACCGACUUGGAUACACAUUAUCCCAAAUGCUAAUCAAUAAAAACGUAUCUGAAAUCCGCUGCUCUGUUCUGCUUGUUUACAGCGGGUCAUUUCAUAGAGAAUUGUUGGAGGCACUCUCGUAUUGUUAUGUCAUCAACAUUUUGAGAAUAAAGGCGCUAACAUGGCGUCCGCUCUAAAAACCUGGCCGAAAUCUCUUAAUAUAUGGCUCUGCCCAAACCCAUCGGACACUUGGGCUGCAUUUAGACAAGCAGCCCAAUUCUGAUCUUUUUUUCACUAAUUGGUAUUUUGAUCAAUCAGAUAUGCUUAAAAAAGAUCUGAUGUGAAAAGAUCUGAUGUGAUUGGUUAAAAGACCAGUUAGUGGAAAGAAUAUCAGAAUUGGGUUAAUUGUGUCAACGCCGCCAAAUGACUAUGGGGUAAGGUGUGAUUUGGGACAUCGUGAGAAUCUCAAUUGAAUUUCCUUGAUUUCUCAUGUCCUCUCUCCUCGCCUUCUCAAAACCCAUUGGACAGACGGCGGGAGGGAUAUCUGACCUUUUCAUCCAUGUAACGCUUGAUGUAGUGGGUGUGGAGUCAGGCGCAGGAAACAAGAGCGCUUGCUAUCGUGUUCCCCGUAUGCUGUAUGAUGCUGCACAAUCUGGGAAUCCAGACUGUAUAGAUUUCCUUCUGCGACAUGGAGCCAGCCCCAAUGUACCUAGCCUGUGCUCAGAGCUACCCAUUCAUCGAACAGCAUAUGAGGGCCAUUACCUGUCACUGAGAAUUUUUAUUCUGAUAGAAGGGCAAUCAGACUUUCAGGCCAGAGUUCCAUUCACUCUGCAGCCGACGGAGUCCAUGUACAAUGCCUGGAGAUACUCGUGGAAAAGGGCUUUGAUGUCAACUCUCUCCUAGACUUUCACAUCGCUGAAGACUACAGAGACAUGAGAAAAAGUGCAUUGUACUUUACUGUCUCUAAUGGAGACGUGACCUGCACUGAAAUACUGCUGAACACAGGAGACAAAACUGACCUGGCCGCUCUAUUCUGCCUCCUGGUGGCGGUGAGAGAUGGGCAGUACGAGAUUGUGAAGCUGCUUUUGGCCAGACAGGCAGACAUCAUUUGUUACUUUGCCGUGGUGGGUGACACAGUAUUUCCCACGGCUCUGCAGUACUGCCUGCGGGACGAGAUGAUGAUGCGUCUGCUGCUCAACAACGGCUAUGACGCAGAUAAAUGUUUCUGCUGUACCCAUGACAGCACCUGGGAUGACCUGAGUGACCAGACUGAUUCCAAUUAUCAAGAAAAAGUUUCUUUCUGUAAUUUCAUCAGAGUUUCCUGGCUGGUGCACUUGGCUGGGAGAGCAGUGUGGAUCCUUCUGGACUACGUCAGUCACGUGCCUCUCUGUCCAAAGCUGAGACAGAUCCUGGAUAAGCACAAAGAGUGGCCUUAGAUCAGCUACAUAUUAGGUGGGUAGUUUGAUCAAAUUUAAAGGAAAAAACAAGAUAAAUGUGUAGGCAAUGCAAUGGCCAUGAGUAGGGGACAUGGCCCACUAAAAACCCAAACUACCUUUGCUCCUGAACCUGAAACCUCUCUUCUGUCUUACUUCUCUGACCAAGCGAAAUCCCGUUCACUGACACAUCUGUGCAGACUGGUGAUCAGGAAACAGAUGACUCCAAAGAGACUGGAGGAUCCAAACAUCAGGGACUCCGCCCCCUUCCCACCCAGACUUUUUUAAAUUCACCUUUAAAUAAAUGUCACCUUUAUUUAACCAGGUAGGCCAGUUGAGAACAAGUUCUCAUUUACAACUGCGACCUGGCCAAGAUAAAGCAAAGCAGUGCGACACAAACAACACAGAGUCACACAUGGGAUAAACAAACAUACAGUCAAUAACACAAUGGAAAUGUCUACAUACAGUGUGUGUAAAUGUAGUAAGAUUAGGGAGGUAAGGCAAUAAAUAGGCCAUAGUGGCAAAAUAAUUACAAUUUAGCAAUUAACACUGGAGUGAUAGAUGUGCAGAAGAUGAAUGUGCAAGUAGAGAUACUGGGGUGAAAAAUGGCACAAAAAAAUAAUAACAACAUGGGGAUGGGGUAGUUGGGUGGGCUAUUUACAGAUGGGCUAUGUACAGGUGCAAUGAUUGGUAAGCUGCUCUGACAGCUGAUGCUUAAAGUUAGUGAGGGACAUAUAAGUCUCCAGCUUCAGUGAUGUUUACAAUUUGUUCCAGUCAUUGGCAGCAGAGAACUGAAAGGCGGCCAAAGGAGGAGUUGGCUUUGGGGGUGACCAGUGAAAUAUACCUGCUGGAGCGCGUGCUACGGGUGGGUGCUGCUAUGGUGACCAGUGAGCUGAGAUAAGGCGGGGCUUUACCCAGCUAAGACUUAUAGAUGACCUGGAGCCAGUGGGUUUGGCAACGAAUAUGAAGUGAGGGGCAGCCAACGAGAAAAUACAGGUCGCAGUGGUGGGUAGUAUAUGGGGCAUUGGUGAAAAAACGGAUGGCAUUGUGAUAGACUACAUCCAAUUUGCUGAGAAGAGUGUCAGAGGCUAUUUUGUAAAUGACAUUGCCGAAGUCAAGGAUCGGUAGGAUAGUCAGUUUUACGAGGGCAUGUUUGGCAGCAUGAGUGAAGGAUGCUUUGUUGCGAAAUAGGAAGACGAUUCUAGAUUUAAUUUUGGAUUGGAGAAGCUUAAUGUGGGUCUGAGUAGUCUAGAGUAGUGAAGCCAGACGGGCGGGUGCGGGCAGCGAUCGGUUGAAGAACAUGCAUUUAGUUUUGCUUGCAUUUAAGAGCAGUUGGAGGCCACGGAUGGAGUGUUUUACAACAUUGAAGCUCAUCUGGAGGUUUGUUAACACAGUGUGCAAAGAUGAGUCAGAAGUAUACAGAAUGGUGUCGUCUGCGUAGAGGUAGAUCAGAGAAUCACCAGCAGCAAGAGCGACAUCAUUGAUGUAUACAGAGAAAAGAGUCGGCCAAAGAAUUAAACCUUUGGGCACCCCCAUAGAGACUGCCAGAGGUCAGGACAACAGGCCCUCCGAUUUGACACACUGAACUCUACCUGAGAAGUAGUUGGUGAACCAGGCAAGGCAGUCAUUUGAGAAACCAAGGCUGUUGAGUCGUCCGAUAAGUAUGCGGUGAUUGACAGAGUCGAAAAUCUUGGCCAGGUCGAUGAAUAUGGCUGCACAGUAUUGUCUUUUAUCGAUCGCGGUUAUGAUAUCGUUUAGGACCUUGAGCGUGGCUGAGGUGCACCCAUGACCAGCUCGGAAACCAGAUUGCAUAGCGGAGAAGGUACAGUGGGAUUCGAAAUGGUCGGUGAUCUGUUUGUUAACUUUGCUUCCGGUGACUUUAGAAAGGCAGGGUAGGAUAGAUAUAGGUCUGUAACAGUUUGGGUCUGGAGUGUCACCCACUUUGAAGAGGGGGAUGGCCGCAGCAGUUUUCCAAUCUUUAGGGAUCUCAGAUGAUACGAAAGAGAGGUUGAACAGGCUAGUAAUAGGGGUUGCAACAAUUGCGGCGGAUAAUUUUAGAAAGAGAGGGUCCAGAUUGUCUAGCCUAGCUGAUUUGUAGGGUCCAGAUUUUGUAGCUCUUUCAGAAUAUCAGCUAUCUGGAUUUGGGUGAAGGAGAAAUGGGGGAGGCUUGGGUAAGUUGCUGUGGGGGGUGCAGAGCUGUUGACCGGGGUAGGGGUAGCCAGGUGGAAAGCAUGGCCAGCCGUAGAAAAAUGCUUAUUGAAAUUCUCGAUUAUCGUAGAUUUAUUGGUGAUGACAGUGUUUUCUAGCCUCAGUGCAGUGGGCAGCAGGGAGGAGGUGCUCUUAUUCUCCAUGGACUUUACAGUGUCCCAGAACUUUUUGGAGUUUGUGCUACAGGAUGCACAUUUCUGUUUGAAAAAACUAGCCUUUGUUUUCCUAACUGCCUGUGUAUAUUGGUUCCUAACUUCCCUGAAAAGUUGCAUAUCGCGGGGGCUGUUCGAUGCUAAUGCAGUAUGCCACAGGAUGUUUUUGUGCUGGUCAAGGGCAGUCAGGUCUGGAGUGAACCAAGGGCUAUAUUUGUUCUUAGUUUUAAAAAAACUGAAUGGGGCAUGCUUAUUUAAGAUGGUGAGGAAAGCAUUUUUAAAGAAUAACCAGGCAUCCUCUACUGAUGGAAUGAGGUCAAUAUCCUUCCAGGAUACCCGGGCCAGGUCGAUUAGAAAGGCCUGCUCGCUGAAGUGUUUUAGGGAGUGUUUGACAGUGAUGAGGGGUGGUUUGACCGUGGACCCAUUACGGAUGCAGGCAAUGAGGCAGUGAUCGCUGAGAUCCUGGUUGAAGACAGCAGAGGUGUAUUUAGAGGGCAGGUUGAUCAGGAGGAUAUCUAUGAGGGUGCCCAUGUUUACGGAUUUAGGGCUGUACCUGGUGGGUUCCAUGAUAAAUUGUAUAAGAUUGAGGGCAUCUAGCUUAGAUUGUAGGAUGGCCGGGGUGUUAAGCAUAUCCCAGUUUAGGUCACCUAACAGUACAAACUCCGAAGAUAAAUGGGGGGCAUUUAAUUCACGUAUGGUGUCCAGGGCACAGCUGGGGGCUGAGGUGAGUCUAUAACAAGCAGCAACAGUGAGAGACUUAUUUCUGGAGAGGUGGAUUUUUAAAAGUAGAAGCUCGAACUGUUUGGGUACAUACCUGGAUAGCAUGACAUAACUCUGCAGUAGAUUGCAACUCCACCCCCUUUGGCAGUUCUUUCUUGCCGGAAAAUAUUGUAGUUGGGGAUGGAAAUUUGUGGCAUUCCUAAGCCAGGAUUCAGACACGGCUAGGACAUCAGGGUUGGCAGAGUGUGCUAAAGCAGUGAAUAAAGCAAAUUUAGGGAGGAGGCUUCCGAUGUUAACAUGCAUGAAACCAAGGCUUUUGCGGUUACAGAAGUCAACAAAUGAUAGCGCCUGGGGAAUAGGAGUGGAACUAGGGGCUACAGGGCCAGGGUUAACUUCUAGGAGGAACAGAGGAGGAGUAGGAACAGGGAACAGGGUGGGAACAGGGUAGGAACCGGGUACGGCUAAAGGCUAUAAGAACUGGUCGUCUAGUGCGUUGGGGACAGAGAAUAAAAGGAGCAGAUUUCUGGGCAUGGUAGAAUAGAUUCAAGGCAUAAUGUACAGACAAGGAUAUGGUAGGAUGUGAGUACAGUGGAGGUAAACCUAGGCAUUGAGUGACGAUGAGAGAGGUUUCGUCUCUGGAGGGACAAGUUAAGCCAGGUGAGGUCUCUGCAUGUGUAUGGGGUGGGACGGAAGAGCUAUCUAAGGAAUUUUGAGCGGGACUGAAGGCUCUACAGUGAAAUAAAACAGUAAAAACUAGCCAAGACAGCAGUAGACAAGGCAUAUUGACAUUAGAGAGAGGCAUAAAGCAAUCACAGGUGUUGAUCAGGAGAGCUAAGACAGCAAUGGAAACAUGGCGAUGAAUGGGCAGAGUGGGUCAGUUAGGUACAUACAGGACCCGAGUUCGAGGCUGGGGCCGACAGGUAAACAAAAUGAGGUACCGUGUUCUUGAAACAGUCCAGGGGGCAUAGCUGUGUAGCAGAGUGAUCAUACGGUCAAAAGAACAGCAAUAGGUGAGUCAGGUUGCCGUUUUCUAGUCACUACUACGCUAGGCGAGCAGGGGACACAGCGUUCUGAAAAGUUAGCAUGUUGGGGCUAGUAGCUGGUUCUUCGGCGACAUCGUAACAAAAUAGCCUGCUGAGACCACAUCGAGCAAUCACGUCGGCAGUCCAGUCGUGAUGGAUCGACGGGGCUCCGUGUUGACAAUAAAGGGUCCAGGCCAAUUGGCAAAGGAGGUAUUUUAGCCCUAGAAUUAGCUGGUAUAUGGGCCUAGCUCACGGCUAGCUGGUGCUUGCUUUGGGACAGAGGCAUUAGCUAACAGUAGCCACUCGUUUGCAGCUAGCUAGCUAGAACUGAAGGAAUAGACUGAAGGAAUACCUAUUCUACAAAGAAAAUGAUUUGUAUGGCAAAAUUAUAUGUAUGGACAAGUGAAAGUCUGUUGUGUUUAAUAGUUAGGGUGAGGCACAAUGAAAUAGUUCACAUAAGGAAGGAGGGAUGAUGGUUCUUAUAGUAAAUGAUGGCAUUUACUUGGAUCCAGAAUAAGAAUAUGUAUGUUUAUUUUAUUUAUAAAGAGACUAGACCACUUAACAAUGAGAACAAUCAUCUGUAUUCAUAAACUCGUCUUAAAAGUAUACUUUCAUUUUGCAACGUCGUUUUUCAAUAAUUUAUUUAUUUUCAUUUACUGUUCGUCUUUGCUUUUACAGUGAAUUGAAUUCAUGGCAAUAAGACUCAUUCCAUGUUGCUGUUGUUUUUAAAACAACUUAUAUUAUAUUGUUAGUACCGAAACUGACACCUGUCUAGAUGUUGGCUAUCUAAUUAAAUAUUUGGAUUAUCAAAACAUUGAGGUUAAUGCUGAUUACUGACACCAGUUGAUUGCUGCAUGGAACAUCACAACACUUCAGGAGUGAAGUGGAAUGACCUGCAUUCCUUAAGUGACAGAUAGUGAAAGCAGGUCAACUCUAAUUAUAACCAUAUAUUGCCUGGAGUGCAAACAACAAACAUGCACUCUAACCUGAUAAUGGCAGACCUCUGACUUCCAUGUGAAAAAAUGAUACCAUGUUAACACCAGAAAUGAUUUUAUAUGGAUUGAAAAUACAAAAUACAAAACAGGAGCCAUUGAGGAGGUAGCAUACUUCAGUCAAUUGUCUUCCUGAGUUUCUUAAAUGUUUCACUGUCCUCCCAAUAUGUUGUAAUCUUCCACUAGAGGGCAACAUUAGCAUUUAUGCUAUACACCUAUGCUCACUAGUUUGCGGAACCCAUGGAAAUGUCCUGGGGGAAUAUGGGACCUUGAACUGUUCAUGGUCAAUCUACUCAAAAUUGGACAUUGCCUGGUCUUGUUUGGGUAGUAACUGCCAUAGAUAUUAGAUCACUGUCUGUAGGGUAUUAUAUCAUAUUACAAUAUUUACUGCUUAAUGUCCUUUUACAUUUGAUUCAAAUGUAUCAAGAAGCUGAUUAAACAGCAUGAUAAUUAUCCAAGUUUAUCUCUAAAAUGUGCAGUUUUGUCACACAAUGCCACAGAUGUCUCACGUUUGAGGGAGAAUGCAAUUGGCCUGCUGACUGUAGGAAUGCUCACCAGAAUCAUUGCCAGUGAAUUUAAUGUUAAUUUCUCUAGGUCAUUUUAGAGAAUUUGGCAGUAUGUCCAACCAGCCUCAAAACCGCAGACCACGUGUAACCACGCCAGCCCGGGACCUCCACAUCCGAGUUCUUCACCUGCGGGAUUGUCUGAGACCAUCCACCUGGACAGCUGAUGAAAUUGAGGAGUAUUUCUGUCUGUAAUAAAGCCCAUUUGUGUGGAAAAACAAAUUCAGAUUGGCUGGGGCUGGCUCCCCCACUGCCCAGUCAUGUGAAAUCCGUAGAUUAGUGCCUAAUGAAUUUAUUUCAGUCGACGGAUUUUCUUAUAUGAACUGUAUCUCAGUAAAAUCGUAAUUUUUUUUGCAUGUUGCAUUUAUAUUUUUGAUCAGUAUAUAUUUUCCUUCUUUAUUAUUUUCCCCUAACCCUACCAUCCCUCCCCCAAUCAGAGUAAACUAAUUGACAACAAGACUUCUAUUUCCAGUUUAUACAUACUAUAUAUAUUUUACGGACAUGGUGCAUUUUACAUUAGUUAAAGUAUAUUUUUCAAUACCACCACUCAGCUAUUAUUAUAUUAUCGAUCAAUUGACUAUGGCUUUUGAAGUCACCGUCAUAGAAUGCCACCUUUCCAACAAGUCAGUUCAUCAAAUUUCUGCCCCGCUAGAGCUGCCACGGUCAACUGUAAGUACUGGUAUUAUGAAGUGGAAACAUCUAGGAGCAACAGCGGCUGAAGUGGUAGGCCACACAAGCUCACAGAAUGGGACCGCCGAGUGCUGAAGCGCGUAGUGCGUAAAAAUCGUCUGUCCUCGGUUGCAACACUCACUACCGAGUUCCAAACUGCCUCUGGAAGCAACGUCAGCACAAGAACUGUUCGUCGGGAGCUUCAUGAAAUGGGUUUCCAUGGCCAAGCAGCCACUCACAAGCCUAAGAUCACCAUGCGCAAUGCAAAUCGCGGACUGGAGUAGUGUAAAGCUCGCUGCUAUUGGACUCGCGUUCUCUGGAGUGAUGAAUCUUGCUUCACCAUCUGGCAGUCCGACAGACAAAUCUGGGUUUGGCGAAUGCCAGGAGAAUGCUAUCUACCCGAAUGCAUAGUGCCAAUUGUAAAGUUUGGGGGAGGAGGAAUAAUGGUCUUGAGCUGUUUUUCAUGGUUCAGGCCCCUUAGUUCCAGUGCAGGAAAAUCUUAGCAUGACAGCGUACAAUGACAUUCUAGACAAUUGUGUGCUUCCAACUUUGUGGCAACAGUUUAGGGAAGGCCCUUUCCUGUUUCAGCAAGACAAUGCCCCUGUGCACAAAGCGAGGUCCAUACAGAAAUGGUUUGUCGAGAUCGGUGUGGAAGAACUUGACUGGCCUGCACAGAGCCCUGACCUCAACUCCAUCAAACACCUUUGGGAUGAAUUAGAACACCGACUGAGAGCCAGGCCUAAUUGCCCAACAUCAGUGUCCGUCCUCACUAAUGCUCUCAUGGCUGAAUGGAAGCAAGUCCCCGCAGCAAUGUUCCAACAUCUAGUGGAACACCUUCCCAGAAGAGUGUUUGGUAUUAUAGCAGCAAAAAAGGGACUAACUCCAUAUUAAUGCCCAUGAUUUUGGAAUGAGAUGUUCGAUGAGCAGGUGUCCACAUACUUUUGGUCAUGGAGUUUAUUUUGCUUCCUCUUAAAAUAUAUUGUUUGGUGAAUCAUUAAUGACUAUGUUGAAGAUUAAAAAAGAUUUUGGUGCGUUUUCCCCCAUAUUUCAUCCAGUUGGCUUUAUUUUUCAUAAUAUAUUACACUUGAUCUUUCUUAAAUAAGUUCCUCCAGUUAUUUUUGUUUUUCCUCGAACAUAUUCUGUGCCUCUGUGGUCCAGUUUUUAUUGCUAUCCAUCUGAACUGUUAGUUCUUCUAUUUCCUUUGUUAAUAUGAACUCUUGACCAAAACUGUUUUUGUUUUAAAGAUGAGUGCUGAAUUGCAUGGCCUCUGAAGGCACAUUUGAAAGUUUCCAAAACAAUAAGGGGAUCUAUUAAGGAGGAAAAAGUCAGUUAUAAAUUAUUGUGUCUUGGUUAAAAAUAAGUUGUAAUCCAGUAGGCUUUGAUUACAUUUCCAAUGUCCUCAGCCGUGUGGAAAUUCUGUAAGUAAUAUGUAUGAUUAUAUUUCCAAUAUCCUCGGCCAUGUGGAAAUUCUGUAAGAGUAAUGUGUAUGCCAAUUAUUUGAUGGUCUGACCACAUUCUGUCCCCUUUGAACACUUUUAGAACUUUUGGUGGCAGCGAGAAUUACAUAAGAAAGUAGUCAAGACGACUAGCUUGAUUCAGCCUCCUCCAUGUACUGUAUAUCUCACUAGGUCAGGAUAUUUGAGCCUCCUCCAUGUACUGUAUAUCUCACUAGGUCAGGAUAUUUGAGCCUCCAUAUAUCCACUAAUUCCAAUAUGUCCAUAAUAUUUGUGAUUUAAGUUCAUGAGGGUGAUAGUUUGUAGUGUGAUUUCCUUUACAGAACAUUGAGGUACUUAAUAUUAGAGUUGUGUAUUGCCUGUAAGCGAGAAAUUAUUAUAUAUAUUUUCAAAAGAAGUGUGCAUAAUCAUUAUUUGGACGGUAUAGAUUAAUGAGCCAAAUCUGUUAACGGCCAUUAGCAUAUUUAAAAAGAUCCACCUUCCUUGCCGAGCUGUUUGAACAUUUAGAUCGACAUUCUUUUUUUAUUAAUAUCGUCACCCCUUUUGAGUUUCUUUGACCAUGAGAGAAGUAUAUCAUCCCCCUCCCCCAGUCCCUUUUACACACAACUUAAUCUAAAGAUGUAGAAUAAGUUUCCUGUAAACAAUAGAUAUUAUAUUCCUUCUCUAUUAGCCAGGUAAAGACCAAUCGUCUUUUCUUAUCAUCUGCUAAGCCAUUACAAUUCUAACUAGCCAUACUUAUUUCACUUCUUACCAUAAUGAGAUACACGUUUCAAUUAUACUUACAAUAAUAUGUUUGUAAACUUCAU